UGACUGCACCCUUGAAUGACCUCCUCUCCAGCUGAACCUUGUGCUUGGAAGCACCGUGCCAUCUUCUUGUGAUGCCCAGGUGUCCCUGGCAGGGGCAUCUGCUGUACCAGCUGGCAGUGAAGCCUUGCAGGAGUGCAUUUCUGCUGAAAACAGCUCGUUUUGGAAUGGAGCACAAGAACAGCCGUCAGGAGGUGACUGGCUUCUCAGAGAAGAAGAGGCUGGAAGAGGAUGAGGAUGGAAGAGGCUGAGAAUGUUGUCUGCCUGGACUUCAGUAAAGCCUCUGACACCAUUUCCCACAGCAUUCUCCAGGAGAAACUGACUGCUCAUGGCCUGGAGGUGCUCUUGGCUGGGAUGGAGCUGACAGAUGGCUUUGCCAUUCUUCUUGUAUAUGCAGCCCUAAAACACAG
This is a long non-coding RNA of Motacilla alba alba, 407 nucleotides long. RefSeq lists it as uncharacterized. The record is from RefSeq and is a predicted model, not a curated record. The transcript has 3 exons. NCBI's taxonomy places the organism in Eukaryota, Metazoa, Chordata, Aves, Passeriformes, Motacillidae.